RNAcentral lists this long non-coding RNA (648 nucleotides) under Homo sapiens (human). RNAcentral's name for it is "growth arrest specific 5, transcript variant 13 (GAS5)". The record is from RNAcentral. Lineage: Eukaryota; Metazoa; Chordata; Mammalia; Primates; Hominidae.
CUUUUCGAGGUAGGAGUCGACUCCUGUGAGGUAUGGUGCUGGGUGCAGAUGCAGUGUGGCUCUGGAUAGCACCUUAUGGACAGUUGUGUCCCCAAGGAAGGAUGAGAAUAGCUACUGAAUUGUUUCUUCCCAGGUCCUAAAGAGCAAGCCUAACUCAAGCCAUUGGCACACAGGCAUUAGACAGAAAGCUGGAAGUUGAAAUGGUGGAGUCCAACUUGCCUGGACCAGCUUAAUGGUUCUGCUCCUGGUAACGUUUUUAUCCAUGGAUGACUUGCUUGGGUAAGGACAUGAAGACAGUUCCUGUCAUACCUUUUAAAGGUAUGGAGAGUCGGCUUGACUACACUGUGUGGAGCAAGUUUUAAAGAAGCAAAGGACUCAGAAUUCAUGAUUGAAGAAAUGCAGGCAGACCUGUUAUCCUAAACUAGGGUUUUUAAUGACCACAACAAGCAAGCAUGCAGCUUACUGCUUGAAAGGGUCUUGCCUCACCCAAGCUAGAGUGCAGUGGCCUUUGAAGCUUACUACAGCCUCAAACUUCUGGGCUCAAGUGAUCCUCAGCCUCCCAGUGGUCUUUGUAGACUGCCUGAUGGAGUCUCAUGGCACAAGAAGAUUAAAACAGUGUCUCCAAUUUUAAUAAAUUUUUGCAAUCCA